GCUUGAACGCUGGCGGUAUGCUUAACACAUGCAAGUCGAACGAAAUACGAUGGGGUUUACUCUAUCGUAUGGCAGUGGCGGACGGGUGCGUAACGCGUAAGAACUUACCUUUUGGCGAGGGACAACCGCGGGAAACUGCGGCUAAUGCCUCAUAGAGCUGAGGAGCGAAAGGUGAAAACCACCAAAAGAGAGGCUUGCGUCUGAUUAGCUAGUUGGUGAGGGUAAUGGCCUCCCAAGGCGACGAUCAGUAGCUGGUCUGAGAGGAUGAUCAGCCACACUGGAACUGAGACACGGUCCAGACUCCUACGGGAGGCAGCAGUGAGGAAUUUUCCGCAAUGGGCGAAAGCCUGACGGAGCAAUACCGCGUGGAGGAGGAAGGCCCGUGGGUCGUAAACUCCUUUUCUCAGAGAAGAACACAAUGACGGUAUCUGAGGAAUAAGCAUCGGCUAACUCCGUGC
RNAcentral lists this ribosomal RNA (458 nucleotides) under uncultured bacterium. RNAcentral describes it as "bacterial SSU rRNA". It matches the Rfam family "Bacterial small subunit ribosomal RNA", at positions 27 to 508 of the family's 1533-position model. The record is from RNAcentral.